This 324-nucleotide ribosomal RNA is filed under the name uncultured Euglypha. Its description in RNAcentral is "SSU rRNA". The stretch from base 109 to 324 matches the Rfam family "Eukaryotic small subunit ribosomal RNA", at positions 738 to 955 of the family's 1831-position model. The record is from RNAcentral. Lineage: Eukaryota; Cercozoa; Imbricatea; Euglyphida; Euglyphidae.
GAUUUCUGACGAACCGGAGUGGCCCGUUUCCUUUUCGGGGAUGAGUGCCGCUUUGAGUUUGUCAUCCUUCCAGAGAGCUGCGUCUACCGUUUACUCGGCCGGAUGUAUGCGAUCUGGAUCUAUUACUUUGAAAAAAUUAGAGUGUUUAAAGCAGGCUUAUGCUGUGAAUACAUUAGCAUGGAAUAAUAAUUUAGGACUUUGGUCUUAUUUUGUUGGUUUCUAGGACUAAAGUAAUGAUUGAUAGGGACAGUUGGGGGUGCUAGUAUUCAGCGGCCAGAGGUGAAAUUCUUGGAUUCGCUGAAGACUAACUUAUGCGAAAGCAUU